This is a long non-coding RNA of Helianthus annuus (common sunflower), 241 nucleotides long. RefSeq lists it as uncharacterized. Lineage: Eukaryota; Viridiplantae; Streptophyta; Magnoliopsida; Asterales; Asteraceae. The record is from RefSeq and is a predicted model, not a curated record. The transcript is spliced from 3 exons.
UUGGAAAUCUCAUAGAUCGAAAACCCUGCCGCACUCCAUUCUUCCCUUCUCUCGAUCAGCUUUCCCUUCGAAGUUUACGUGUACGAAUCUUGUUGAUUGUUCCAUAUUCGAUCAGUAUAACCUAUCCUCUGGAUAUGGUUGAUCAACGUGAAACAAAGUGAUAAAACAUACCGAGCAAAUCCCAGGUAAUUACUGGAGGAACUUGGGAACUUGCUGUCUGAUGCUGCUGGAGUGGUUGUGG